GGGCUUGACAUCCCACGAACCUGCCCGAAAAGGUGGGGUGCCCGCAAGGGAGCGUGGAGACAGGUGGUGCAUGGCUGUCGUCAGCUCGUGUCGUGAGAUGUUGGAUUAAGUCCCGCAACGAGCGCAACCCUCACCCCUAGUUGCGACCGGGUUAUGCCGAGCACUCGAGGGGAACUGCCAGCGUCAAGCUGGAGGAAGGCGGGGAUGACGUCAAGUCAUCAUGCCCCUUACGCCCUGGGCUACACACGUGCUACAAUGGCCAGUACAAAGGGAUGCGAGACUGCGAAGUGGAGCUAAUCCCAAAAAGCUGGUCUAAGUUCAGAUUGCAGUCUGCAACUCGACUGCAUGAAGGAGGAAUCGCUAGUAAUCGCGCAUCAGCACGGCGCGGUGAAUACGUUCCCGGGCCUUGUACACACCGCCCGUCACACCACGAAAGCUGUCUGUACUCGAAGUCGCUGAG
Molecule: ribosomal RNA, 460 nt
Filed under: uncultured Methylomirabilota bacterium
Lineage: Bacteria; Methylomirabilota (SeqCode)
Description: bacterial SSU rRNA
Rfam family: Bacterial small subunit ribosomal RNA
Source: RNAcentral